This 216-nucleotide ribosomal RNA is filed under the name uncultured bacterium. Its description in RNAcentral is "partial 16S ribosomal RNA". It matches the Rfam family "Bacterial small subunit ribosomal RNA", at positions 97 to 297 of the family's 1533-position model. The record is from RNAcentral.
GGCGAACGGGUGAGUAACACGUUGGUUUAACCUGCCUGGAUGUGGGGGAUACCCCGGGGAAACUCGGGACAAUACCGCAUGAUGUCUCUCGGGCGUCGGCCUGGGAGAGCAAAGCCGGGGACCGCAAGGCCUGGCGCAUCCGGAGGGGACCGCGGCCGAUUAGCUAGUUGGCGGGGUAAUGGCCCACCAAGGCGACGAUCGGUAGCCGGCCUGAGA